CAAUGGGUAUUUUAUUAAAAUAUUAAUUUUGGAGAUUAAAGAAAAAAUUUAUAAUUUUUCCGUUGA
RNAcentral lists this transfer RNA (66 nucleotides) under Haedus sp. Its description in RNAcentral is "tRNA-Pro". Lineage: Eukaryota; Metazoa; Arthropoda; Insecta; Hemiptera; Tingidae. The record is from RNAcentral.